Molecule: transfer RNA, 72 nt
Filed under: Camelus bactrianus (Bactrian camel)
Lineage: Eukaryota; Metazoa; Chordata; Mammalia; Artiodactyla; Camelidae
Also listed under: 3 other names
Rfam family: tRNA
About the family: Transfer RNA (tRNA) molecules are approximately 80 nucleotides in length.
Source: Rfam by way of RNAcentral
GAGGGUAUAGCUCAGUGGUAGAGCGCGUGCUUAGCAUGCACAAGGUCCUGGGUUCAAUCCCCAGUACCUCCA